This 443-nucleotide ribosomal RNA is filed under the name uncultured bacterium. RNAcentral's name for it is "partial 16S ribosomal RNA". It matches the Rfam family "Bacterial small subunit ribosomal RNA", at positions 338 to 795 of the family's 1533-position model. The record is from RNAcentral.
CCUACGGGUGGCAGCAGUGGGGGAUAUUGGACAAUGGGGGAAACCCUGAUCCAGCGACGCCGCGUGAGUGAAGAAGUAUUUCGGUAUGUAAAGCUCUAUCAGCAGGGAAGAAAGAAAUGACGGUACCCGAGUAAGAAGCCCCGGCUAACUACGUGCCAGCAGCCGCGGGAAUACGUAGGGGGCAAGCGUUAUCCGGAUUGACUGGGUGUAAAGGGAGCGUCGACGGGAAUGCAAGUCUGGAGGGAAAGGCGGGGGCCCAACCCCCGGACUGCUCUGGAAACUGUGUAACUGGAGUGCAGGAGAGGCAGGCGGAAUUCCUAGUGUAGCGGUGAAAUGCAUAGAUAUUAGGAGGAACACCAGUCGCGAAGGCGGCCUGCUGGACUGUAACUGACGUUGAGGCUCGAAAGCGUGGGGAGCAAACAGGAUUAGAUACCCUUGUAGUC